RNAcentral lists this long non-coding RNA (354 nucleotides) under Ananas comosus (pineapple). RNAcentral describes it as "long non-coding RNA (ACOM_LNC014870)". Lineage: Eukaryota; Viridiplantae; Streptophyta; Magnoliopsida; Poales; Bromeliaceae. The record is from RNAcentral.
UGGAUGAUAAUGGUCCUGUUUUUUAAGGUAUGAUGAUCACCCUGUUAUUUUGCAUAUGAUGAUGAUUCUGUUAUUUUUUGAAUGUGGUGACUUAUAUUUUGGAGAUAGAAUGAUAUUACUAUUAUUUAUGAAUUUGUCGUAAAUUAGACAGAAAAGAUAUUGAAUUAUUGUGAUGAAUUAUCAAGUUAUGAAAUUGUUGAUUUAUAUGUAAGUAUUGUAUUAAUGUUGUGAUGAUUUAUACGUAAUAGUGAAACUAUAAUGUUGUGAUAUUGUGAUAAUUUACAUAUAGUUGUGUUGAAUUGUUGAUUUAACGUGGUACUAUAAACAGUUUGUAUUAAAUUGUUAGUAUGUGAA